Panicum virgatum (switchgrass) is the source of this 880-nucleotide long non-coding RNA. RefSeq lists it as uncharacterized. NCBI's taxonomy places the organism in Eukaryota, Viridiplantae, Streptophyta, Magnoliopsida, Poales, Poaceae. The transcript is spliced from 3 exons. The record is from RefSeq and is a predicted model, not a curated record.
CAACGAUGUCGGCUGCCCCUGGCGGAGGAGGUGGGGUCCCGCGGGCUCCAGCAAGGCCAAGCAGGCCGCAAAGUUCGUCAAGGUGGUCAUCGACGGCGCGUCCUACCUGCGGAAGGUGGACCUCGAGGCCUACGCCGGCUACGACCUGGUCCUCGGCGCGCGCUCCAGGACAAGCUCUUCUCCCAUUUCAACAUCCGUGAGGGAGUUCGCCGACGAUGAGAGGAAGAGAGGAAGCAGGUGGACGCAGUGAACGGGACGGAGUACGUGUCCACGUACAAGGACACGGACGGCGACUGGAUGCUCGUCGACGAUGUCCCCUGGAAGUUUCAACGAAAUGAACUAGCAUGGAUGUUUAACGAAUUGGAAAGCUGGUGGAUGGUAGUUUGUAGAACCCUGGCAGUUUACCUAUUUGUCUAUUCAGUUUCAUAAUAUGCAUGUGUACUACUGUAUGUGUUCUUUUUCUGGCAAAAAAUACCUUUUCAGUUUCAUAUCUUCUGCAGGUAUAUUUUCAGACACCAUUAGCCUUUGAUUAGUUUCAGUUAUGCUGUUGCAUUGGCCUCACAGGAUUGUAUGUUCUUUGGCAGUUGUGCAGCGGUGUGGAUGAAAGUGCAGCUGGUGCAUGUGCCCAGCUUGUCUUUGCACCCAUUGAUGAAUCUUUUGCUGAUGAUGACGAUUCUGGCUGUUGCCGAUUCUGGAUGUUGAUGCACUGUAGUCUUGUUCUGCUAUAUUUUUUGGAUGUUCAACCUAGAUGUUCUGGAUGUUAGAUCCUUGUUUCUGUAGCGCUCAUACAUAUAUUCGAUUCAAUUUGUCCAUCUCAGCAGCUUCUUAGUUCAGGCAGAGGUCGUACAAGUGGCGGAGGAGGGUGAAGGCCUCGCCGACU